RNAcentral lists this Y RNA (102 nucleotides) under Microcebus murinus (gray mouse lemur). RNAcentral describes it as "Y RNA (ENSMICG00000043459.1)". It matches the Rfam family "Y RNA". From Rfam's summary of the family: Y RNAs are components of the Ro ribonucleoprotein particle (Ro RNP), in association with Ro60 and La proteins. The Y RNAs and Ro60 and La proteins are well conserved, but the function of the Ro RNP is not known. In humans the RNA component can be one of four small RNAs -- hY1, hY3, hY4 and hY5. Lineage: Eukaryota; Metazoa; Chordata; Mammalia; Primates; Cheirogaleidae. The record is from Rfam by way of RNAcentral.
GGUUGGUCCGAGUGCAGUGGUGUUUACAACUAAUUGAUCACAACCAGUUACAGAUUCCUUUGUUCCUUCUCCACUCCCACUGCUCCACUUGACCAGCCCAAA